Molecule: non-coding RNA, 81 nt
Filed under: unclassified sequences
Description: DUF3800-VII RNA
Rfam family: DUF3800-VII RNA
Source: Rfam by way of RNAcentral
AAAGAACGCCGCCGGAUAAAGCGAGGGUGUUUUCACCAGCAUGCUAGACAUGUGGUAGUCGCUCCGGGGGUUCUUUUUUAU